UAUUUUGAUAGGGGUUGCAAUAAAUCUGUAGAUUGCUUUGGGUAGUAUGAACAUUUCACCAGUAUUGGUUCUUCCAUUUCGGGUAUGUGGACUAUCCUGCCAUUUGUGUUAUCUUCAAUUUCUUUCAUCAAUGUUUUAUCGUUUUUAGAGUACAGGUCUUCUACCUCCUUGGUUAAGUAUGUUUCUAGGUAUUUUUUUCUUUUGGUACAAUUGUAAAUGGGGUUUUCUUAAUUUCUAUUUCUGCAACUUCAUUAGUGUAUAGAAAUAAAACAUAUUUCUAUUUAUUAAUUUUGUAUCCUGUGACUUUACUGAACUCAUUUAUCAGUUCUAGUCAGUUUUUGAUGGAAUAUUCAAAGAUUUCUGUAUAUGUCAUCUGCAUAUAGUGAAAGUUUAUUUUUUUUACCAAUUUGGAUGCCUUUUAUUUUUCUUUUCUGAUUGCUAUGGCUAGGACUUCCAGUAGCAUGUUGAAUAAAAGUGGUGAGAGUGGACAUCCUUAUCUUGUUCCUGAUCCUAGAGGAAAAACUCUUUAUCACCAUUGAGUAUGAUCAUAGCUGUGGGUUUUUCAGAUAAGGUAUUUAUUAUGAUGAGUUAUGUUUAACAGAGAUAAUAUAUUUUGUUGAGAGUUUUUAUCAUGGAUGAAUGCUACACUUUGUCAAAUGCUUUUUCUACAUCUAUUGAGGUGAUCAUGUGGUUUUUAUCCUUCAUUUAUGUGAUGUUAUGAGCCUGAUUUGUGAAUAUUGACCCACCCUUGGAUUCCUGGAACAAAUCCCAUUUGAUUAUGGUGCAUGGUUUUUCUAAUGUAUUGUUGAAUUUGGUUUACUAAUGUUUUAUUGAAGAUUUUUGCAUCUAUGUCCAUCAGAAAUCUUGGCCAGACUAAUCAAGAAAAAAGAGAGGAUUCAAAUAAAUAAAACAAAAAGAAAAGAGAAGAAAAAUUGACAUCACUGAAAACAAGUAAUUAUAAGGGUAUAUUAAAUACCAACAUAUGGAUAAAUGGAAAAAAUCCUAGAAACAAUCUUCCAAAACUGAAUCAGAAAGAAAAAGAAAAUUUGAACAGACUUGUUACUACUAAUUAAAUUUAAUUGGUAAUCAAAAAACUCCCAGCAAACAAAAACCCAGGACCAAAUGACUUCACAGGUGAAUUCUAUCAAACAUUUAAGAAAGAGUUAAUACCUACUCUUCUCAACCUAUUCCAAAAAAAAAAAAAAAAAAAAAAAAGGAAGAGGAAGGAGAGCUACUAAAUAUCUUCUACGAGGCCAGCAUUACCCCAACACCAAAACCAGACAAAGACACUAUUAAAAAAAACAGCCAAUAGUCCUCAGCAUAAAGCACAAAGGUCCAGGACAGCAAUGUAGAAAUGCUGCUCAUGGUAUACACACCAUGCAAUAGGAAAACAUAGUAGUUUUUAGUCCUAUACCAAAACCCAGUAAGCCAGGAAAUCAAAUGUAAAAAAACCUGGACACUUAUUUUAUUUAAAUACCUGAGUCUGAAUUACAUAGAGGUGGCAGAAUAAGCAAUUGUUCAGAUGCAGGUGACCAAUGGCUGAUUUUGGCUUCCUAAGUCAGUCACUGUGCAAGAGAAAUUCUGAUGUUGAGCUUUGCCAAGAGUGGUCAACCUCUGGCUCCUGGCUCCUGUAACUGGAAGGGCCCCAAAUACUGAAUAAGACAGAAAUGAUGACUACAUUGGACACUUCUAUUAGCUUUUUAUUUACACGAACUUUCAUAGAACCAGGAUAUUCACAUAUAAAAAUGGAAAUGGAUAUUGAUCCCAAGCCGGGUAAGUUCUUUCUAUAGUAUUUCUGUUAUCCAUACAUUAAGGCAUGGCAAUACCAAAGUGCGGCAAACAGGUUCCAGUUGCCUGCUGUCUUAGCUUACCCUUCCUCAGCAGCAGCAGAUAGUGAGACAAGGACACAGAUACAGGUAGUUUAUUUGGGUAGUGAUCUUCAGGAAAUACCAGUAUAGUGAGAUGAGACAGGAAAGGAAAGGAAGCUAAUAGUGCAUUAUCAAGCCAGUCACCACCAGGGAACUCUGAAGUUAAAGGAAUCUCAACUCAGGUUAUGCAGAGAUUGCCCAGCUUAAAUAUUUCCACUGUGAACACUCAUUGGCUGACAGUAACCCUUGGCAUGAAUGCCACAAUAUAUCCAAACUUUUGUAAUGGGCUAUUCAGCCGACUAUGUUCCCCUGUUACCAGCAAGUAUUGAAGGUAUGUCUUAGAAAUGAGCAAUAUAGGACCAUUCCAUGUGUAUAAAAGGAAUGAAUAAAACAGAUUGGGUGAUCAUGGAAAUAGGAAGUUAAAGGCAGUCUCUCUCGUAUGGUAGACAGAAAUACUGAAAAUCAAAGUUAUUUCUUUCCUCAGGAGGAAGACAUUGUUCCAAGAGGUGACUUACGGACUUUCGCUGGGGUAAAGAGGCUUUCCUAAUACUACUCCUCAAAAAAAUUUAACUGAAAGCGUGUUUUCUCUGAAAACACAGUUCCAUGAAAAGCCACCUAGGCUCUCUUACUGAAAACCAAGCUGCCAUCUCAGAUCCCCAAUACAUUUGGGAUAAUUUAGAACUGUUAUACUUCUCAAAAUAAUGGCAGAAUAGCUAUGGCCUAAAGAAGACUUCUAACUCCAGUGUAGGACAUCUUUCAAUAUUCCAUAAGAACUGUUACUUGAAGGUUCUUCUAGCUUGUCAACCUUGAGACUAUUUCCCUUUUUGAACCUCUUAGUGGUCAGUAACUGUGGUGAGUUCAGAAAUGGGAAGGUAUCAAUGAGGUCAAUCUGGUUACGUGGAAAAUGUAUUUUUAAUAAUUAUUUUGGUCUUAAAAUUUUUUCUUAAACUAUGACGCUAUGCUUCAUGUAGAACAACUUGAAUAUAAAUAGAUUCCAGUACUUUAAGACUGUUCUCUGAUUUCUAGGGAAUAUAUGUAAUAGAAUUUUAUCCUAGUAUAUGGAAUUUAAUGAAGGUCAGUAGAGCUUCAUUGUUAAGGCAUCCUAAAGUGUUGAUAUGAAUCUGUGUAUUAAGUCCUCCAGAUAUUCAUAUACAAUGAGAUAAUUUAUCAAGACAUUUACCAAAUUAGGUAGCAAAACCUAGGGCAGAUAAUGAGGAAUCAAAGAGGGCAAAAUGAAAUAUUCAACUUCCAUUUCAGAACCAGAAAAUACCAGAGCAGAAUGCAUAUAAAGGAGUUCAUGUAUGAUGGUGUUGGGACACUCACUGGACGUUAAAAGAUGUGACCUCUGUAUGGAAGCCCCAAAAGCUGGGGUGCCAGGUGUGUGCACAAGCUCCUUUCCUGAGGUUCCUGCAGCCAUCCAGAGGAAGAGUGUGAAUAGACACCUGCUAGCAUCCAACAUCUCUGGAGAGCACUGCAUUCAUCCCUUAAGUCCUGUGACGUGUGAAUGUAAAACCUACUGGCCACCAGAUCUAGGCUAACAAGAGAGGGAGACAAGAGAUCCAAAGCAGGCUCUGGACUGACAGCAGAGAGCCUUACGUGGAGCUCAAACUCAUGAACCAUGAAAUCACGACGUAAGCCAAAAUUGGACACAUAACACACUGUGCCACCCAGGCACCCCAGGAUAAUUCUGAAU
Long non-coding RNA from Acinonyx jubatus (cheetah), 3561 nucleotides. RefSeq lists it as uncharacterized. Lineage: Eukaryota; Metazoa; Chordata; Mammalia; Carnivora; Felidae. The transcript has 4 exons. The record is from RefSeq and is a predicted model, not a curated record.